RNAcentral lists this ribosomal RNA (2068 nucleotides) under Listeria monocytogenes. RNAcentral's name for it is "partial 23S ribosomal RNA". It matches the Rfam family "Bacterial large subunit ribosomal RNA", at positions 864 to 2925 of the family's 2925-position model. The record is from RNAcentral. Lineage: Bacteria; Bacillati; Bacillota; Bacilli; Caryophanales; Listeriaceae.
AUAGCUUUAGGGCUAGCCUCGAGGUAAAGAGUCAUGGAGGUAGAGCACUGUUUGGACUAGGGGCCCUUCUCGGGUUACCGAAUUCAGAUAAACUCCGAAUGCCAUGUACUUAUACUCGGGAGUCAGACUGCGAGUGAUAAGAUCCGUAGUCGAAAGGGAAACAGCCCAGACCACCAGUUAAGGUCCCCAAAUAUAUGUUAAGUGGAAAAGGAUGUGGGGUUGCUUAGACAACCAGGAUGUUGGCUUAGAAGCAGCCACCAUUGAAAGAGUGCGUAAUAGCUCACUGGUCGAGUGACCCCGCGCCGAAAAUGUACCGGGGCUAAACAUAUUACCGAAACUGUGGAUGAACCUCUUUAGAGGUUCGUGGUAGGAGAGCGUUCUAAGGGCGGUGAAGUCAGACCGGAAGGACUGGUGGAGCGCUUAGAAGUGAGAAUGCCGGUAUGAGUAGCGAAAGAAGGGUGAGAAUCCCUUCCACCGAAUAUCUAAGGUUUCCUGAGGAAGGCUCGUCCGCUCAGGGUUAGUCGGGACCUAAGCCGAGGCCGAUAGGCGUAGGCGAUGGACAACAGGUAGAGAUUCCUGUACCAGUGCUAAUUGUUUAACCGAUGGGGUGACACAGAAGGAUAGGGAAUCGCACGAAUGGAAAUGUGCGUCCAAGCAGUGAGUGUGAGAAGUAGGCAAAUCCGCUUCUCGCGAAGCAUGAGCUGUGAUGGGGAAGGAAAUUAAGUACGGAAGUUCCUGAUUUCACGCUGUCAAGAAAAGCCUCUAGGAAGAGUAGUACUGCCCGUACCGCAAACCGACACAGGUAGAUGAGGAGAGAAUCCUAAGGUGAGCGAGAGAACUCUCGUUAAGGAACUCGGCAAAAUGACCCCGUAACUUCGGGAGAAGGGGUGCUCUAUUAGGGUGCAAGCCCGAGAGAGCCGCAGUGAAUAGGCCCAGGCGACUGUUUAGCAAAAACACAGGUCUCUGCAAAACCGUAAGGUGACGUAUAGGGGCUGACGCCUGCCCGGUGCUGGAAGGUUAAGAGGAGUGCUUAGCUUCGGCGAAGGUACGAAUUGAAGCCCCAGUAAACGGCGGCCGUAACUAUAACGGUCCUAAGGUAGCGAAAUUCCUUGUCGGGUAAGUUCCGACCCGCACGAAAGGCGCAACGAUCUGGGCACUGUCUCAACGAGAGACUCGGUGAAAUUAUAGUACCUGUGAAGAUGCAGGUUACCCGCGACAGGACGGAAAGACCCCGUGGAGCUUUACUGCAACCUGAUAUGGAAUGUUUGUACCGCUUGUACAGGAUAGGUAGGAGCCGAAGAGACGUGUGCGCUAGCAUACGAGGAGGCAAUGGUGGGAUACUACCCUGGCUGUAUGACCAUUCUAACCCGCCACGCUUAGCGCGUGGGGAGACAGUGUCAGGUGGGCAGUUUGACUGGGGCGGUCGCCUCCUAAAGAGUAACGGAGGCGCCCAAAGGUUCCCUCAGAAUGGAUGGAAAUCAUUCGCAGAGUGUAAAGGCACAAGGGAGCUUGACUGCGAGACUGACAAGUCGAGCAGGGACGAAAGUCGGGCUUAGUGAUCCGGUGGUUCCGCAUGGAAGGGCCAUCGCUCAACGGAUAAAAGCUACCCCGGGGAUAACAGGCUUAUCUCCCCCAAGAGUCCACAUCGACGGGGAGGUUUGGCACCUCGAUGUCGGCUCGUCGCAUCCUGGGGCUGUAGUCGGUCCCAAGGGUUGGGCUGUUCGCCCAUUAAAGCGGCACGCGAGCUGGGUUCAGAACGUCGUGAGACAGUUCGGUCCCUAUCCGUCGCGGGCGCAGGAAAUUUGAGAGGAGCUGUCCUUAGUACGAGAGGACCGGGAUGGACACACCGCUGGUGUACCAGUUGUUCCGCCAGGAGCAUCGCUGGGUAGCUAUGUGUGGCAGGGAUAAACGCUGAAAGCAUCUAAGCGUGAAGCCCCCCUCAAGAUGAGAUUUCCCAUUUCUUCGGAAAGUAAGAUCCCUGAAAGAUGAUCAGGUAGAUAGGUUUGGAGUGGAAGUGUAGCGAUACAUGGAGCGGACAAAUACUAAUCGAUCGAGGACUUAACCAAAA